RNAcentral lists this ribosomal RNA (1648 nucleotides) under Salmonella enterica. RNAcentral's name for it is "partial 23S ribosomal RNA". It matches the Rfam family "Bacterial large subunit ribosomal RNA", at positions 1173 to 2803 of the family's 2925-position model. Lineage: Bacteria; Pseudomonadati; Pseudomonadota; Gammaproteobacteria; Enterobacterales; Enterobacteriaceae. The record is from RNAcentral.
UAACGGGGCUAAACCAUGCACCGAAGCUGCGGCAGCGACGCUGAUGCGUUGUUGGGUAGGGGAGCGUUCUGUAAGCCUGCGAAGGUGGCCUGUGAGGGUUGCUGGAGGUAUCAGAAGUGCGAAUGCUGACAUAAGUAACGAUAAAGCGGGUGAAAAGCCCGCUCGCCGGAAGACCAAGGGUUCCUGUCCAACGUUAAUCGGGGCAGGGUGAGUCGACCCCUAAGGCGAGGCCGAAAGGCGUAGUCGAUGGGAAACGGGUUAAUAUUCCCGUACUUGGUGUUACUGCGAAGGGGGGACGGAGAAGGCUAUGUUGGCCGGGCGACGGUUGUCCCGGUUUAAGCGUGUAGGUGUGUGUUCCAGGUAAAUCCGGUUCACUUUAACACUGAGGCGUGACGACGAGGCACUACGGUGCUGAAGCAACAAAUGCCCUGCUUCCAGGAAAAGCCUCUAAGCAUCAGGUAACAUCAAAUCGUACCCCAAACCGACACAGGUGGUCAGGUAGAGAAUACCAAGGCGCUUGAGAGAACUCGGGUGAAGGAACUAGGCAAAAUGGUGCCGUAACUUCGGGAGAAGGCACGCUGACACGUAGGUGAAGUGAUUUACUCAUGGAGCUGAAGUCAGUCGAAGAUACCAGCUGGCUGCAACUGUUUAUUAAAAACACAGCACUGUGCAAACACGAAAGUGGACGUAUACGGUGUGACGCCUGCCCGGUGCCGGAAGGUUAAUUGAUGGGGUCAGCGCAAGCGAAGCUCCUGAUCGAAGCCCCGGUAAACGGCGGCCGUAACUAUAACGGUCCUAAGGUAGCGAAAUUCCUUGUCGGGUAAGUUCCGACCUGCACGAAUGGCGUAAUGAUGGCCAGGCUGUCUCCACCCGAGACUCAGUGAAAUUGAACUCGCUGUGAAGAUGCAGUGUACCCGCGGCAAGACGGAAAGACCCCGUGAACCUUUACUAUAGCUUGACACUGAACAUUGAGCCUUGAUGUGUAGGAUAGGUGGGAGGCUUUGAAGUGUGGACGCCAGUCUGCAUGGAGCCGACCUUGAAAUACCACCCUUUAAUGUUUGAUGUUCUAACGUGGACCCGUGAUCCGGGUUGCGGACAGUGUCUGGUGGGUAGUUUGACUGGGGCGGUCUCCUCCUAAAGAGUAACGGAGGAGCACGAAGGUUGGCUAAUCCUGGUCGGACAUCAGGAGGUUAGUGCAAUGGCAUAAGCCAGCUUGACUGCGAGCGUGACGGCGCGAGCAGGUGCGAAAGCAGGUCAUAGUGAUCCGGUGGUUCUGAAUGGAAGGGCCAUCGCUCAACGGAUAAAAGGUACUCCGGGGAUAACAGGCUGAUACCGCCCAAGAGUUCAUAUCGACGGCGGUGUUUGGCACCUCGAUGUCGGCUCAUCACAUCCUGGGGCUGAAGUAGGUCCCAAGGGUAUGGCUGUUCGCCAUUUAAAGUGGUACGCGAGCUGGGUUUAGAACGUCGUGAGACAGUUCGGUCCCUAUCUGCCGUGGGCGCUGGAGAACUGAGGGGGGCUGCUCCUAGUACGAGAGGACCGGAGUGGACGCAUCACUGGUGUUCGGGUUGUCAUGCCAAUGGCACUGCCCGGUAGCUAAAUGCGGAAGAGAUAAGUGCUGAAAGCAUCUAAGCACGAAACUUGCCCCGAG